CUCGAUAUCUCUUAAGACCUGUUGGCUUCCCUGACUUGCAGCGUCAGAUAAUCUUUUAUAAUUUGUGUGUGUGUGUGCGCGCGCGCGUGUGCCAGGGACCGAAUUCGGGACCUUCCACUUUUGAGGCAGGUGCGGCGCCGCUGAACUAAAUCCCCAGCAGAUACUUCGCAAAUUUUUUGGUACUUGAUGUAACUUUUCCAACACUGUCAGUGUACCUGACCACUUCUCAUAGCUCCCUCACCUACUUUUUUGCUAUUCCCUAAGAAAAUAGCAUCAAACUUCUUUAAAUGUUUGUUAAAGUCAAUAAGAUGCUGAGUAUGCGUCUGUAAGCAUACAUUCAGUGCUGAGUUUGAAGGAGGUAAAAAUGUAUAAUCCAAAUAGAAAAUGCAAAAGGGCUGUGUAAGUAGCUCAGUGUGAAUGUCCUGGGUUUAAUCCUCAGAACCACAAUUAAAAAUUUAAAAGCCCCUUUAGGGCUAGAAACUUAGCUGGAGCAUUCCUGAGCCAGUUCCACCUUGUUUUGUAUCCCUGUCUGAGCUGUUAUCUCUGAAAUUUUGUUGCAGGUGAAAAAGAGUCUCAGGUGGACAUGUAAGGCUUGUGGUGAGAAGCAGUCUUUCUUACGGGCUUAUGGUGAGGGCUCUGGUGCCCACUGUAGAAGCCACGUUCAAAAACUAAAUCUGCUGCAGGGACAGGCUUCUGAGCUGUUACCCAGGGGAUACAGCCACAGCGCAGCACAGCUUCCGCGUGGCCCAGAUGCCCAAGACGCUUCCGACGCUGGUGUUGCCCUGGAGUCGCAGGAUAACGGGGACCUGAGGGGAGCGGCGCAGCGAGGGAGCCCUGGCUGUCCCUGGAGGGCAACAGCCCCGCCUUCUAAAUGGGCUCGGUUUCUCCUGCCACCUGUACACAGCCCCCAGGAGGACACAGAGCCACUGGCAUCAGCACAGAGGGGGCCUGGGCCAGCCCGUCCAGCACAGGCCACCCCUGAGGAAGGCCGCUUCAGUGGGCCCACUGCCCCCACCAUGCCUCCUCGGGCUGUGCUGGGGAGGCCCUGUGGGGAGACCCCGUGGGCAGAGGGCUGUCAGGUGGCCCCAUCCGUGCGACGGUGCAGCCUCUUUACAACUGGGGAGGAGUUCGAGGAUGACCUGUGAGGUCCUUUAAGUCCAUCUCUUGCAAUUACUUUAGAAGAGUUUACAGAAAGAUGGGCCCAAGGAUGCAACUGGUGAUAGAAAGUUUGCCAUGCACGCACAAGGCCCUGCACCUAAUCCCCAGCAACACACACAUUACACAACUUUGCAAUGAAAAGGCUCGAGCAAAGUCAAGUCAGGCAAGGUGGCCACAUGCCUGUAACCCCAGCGUAUGGGAGGCUGAGUCAAGAGGAUCCUCAGCUCCACACCAGCCAGUCUGGGCUACCUGCUGAGACCCAUCUUGGGAGACCAAAAAAGACAAUGAAGGCUAAAGGAAAAGUUGAAAGAUAGUUAACAGUGAAUGCCUGUACUUUUUUUUUUUUUAAAGCACCCCUUCUGUGAAAGGAUUAAAAAAAAAAAAAAAAAC
This is a long non-coding RNA of Fukomys damarensis (Damara mole-rat), 1548 nucleotides long. Lineage: Eukaryota; Metazoa; Chordata; Mammalia; Rodentia; Bathyergidae. The record is from Ensembl.